GCUUAUUUUAGUUGCUGUUGCCUGUUGCUGAAGCAGUCUGACCUUCUCCUCUGACCCCUGCUUCAGCAAAGUAUUUUCACCCGGAGAACAGCUGCUCACUUCAUAUUUUCUCUUUUUCAGCCCAUUCUCUGUAAACCCUUGAGAUGGUUGUGUGGGGAAAAUCCCAGCAGAUCAUCAGUUUCUGAAAUAUUCAGACCAGCUCGUCUGGCACCAACAACCAUCCAAUGCUCAAAAUCACUUAAACCGCCAUUCUUUCACAUUCUGAUGCUCAGCUUGAACAUCAACUAGUUAGGCCUGACCCCUAAAUGUAAAGGAGUUGCUGCCAUGUAAUUGGCUGAUUCGAUACUACUAAUAAUAAUAAGAUAAUGACUUGAUGUACCUAAUGAAGUGGCCAGUGAGUGUAAAUAUUUAGGGAUGCUUUUGUUAGUUGAGUACCAGACAUGUUAUAGUUUUGUGUCCUCCAAUUAGUUUUCAUUUUAAUUUCAUUUUGACUGUUUGAUUUAGUUUUAUUUAGUUAGGGCUUUUUUUGUAUUUUUUUUUUUUUUUUUUGCAUUUCCGUUUAGUUUUUCAUUAGUUUUAGUGUUUUUAUUUAAUAUUGUAUGAAGGAACAUGCCAGAGGCAAGAUAUAGGAAAAUCAGCAUAAGUAGCACAAUACAAAACAGAGCUUUUUGAAAGCAGUUAACUCACAGUUUUGUAGAAAUGCUAAGUCUCAGUACAAACUAAAGCCUCAUCAGGCAAGCUGUGAUAAUACAUUUUGCCAGACUGACAAGGAGUAAACCUAAGGAUGUUUUCUUUAUAGUUUGAGUUUAUUUGAGUUAGUUGUUCACAAAAUCAUUUCAGUUCAUUUUUAUUUUCUUUCCCUACAAAAAAUAUUUUAGCAAACAAACUAAAAUUGUAUAUUUCACCUUAAUUUUCAGUUUCAGUUUACUUACAGCAACCUUGUUAGAUAGAUAACUAGUUCAGACGAAGCGUUCUCAAUUAGGCCCUUUGGGAAUAAAGACAGAGCUGUCGAGGAUUCAGCACUAGACAGCUCCCAUCAAGUCCGCACAGGCAGAGCUGAGCAGACAGCGGGGGUGAAGCGGACAUGAUCCAAUCAAUCUCACAUUGGAUAUGACCCUGCGUGGCAGCUCAGUG
Molecule: long non-coding RNA, 1134 nt
Organism: Astatotilapia calliptera (eastern happy)
Lineage: Eukaryota; Metazoa; Chordata; Actinopteri; Cichliformes; Cichlidae
Source: Ensembl